RNAcentral lists this transfer RNA (88 nucleotides) under Acidobacteriota bacterium. Its description in RNAcentral is "tRNA-Ser". It matches the Rfam family "tRNA". From Rfam's summary of the family: Transfer RNA (tRNA) molecules are approximately 80 nucleotides in length. Their secondary structure includes four short double-helical elements and three loops (D, anti-codon, and T loops). Lineage: Bacteria; Pseudomonadati; Acidobacteriota. RNAcentral also lists the same sequence under 2 other names. The record is from RNAcentral.
GGAGGGGUGGCCGAGCGGCUUAAGGCAGCGGUCUUGAAAACCGCCGUUCCGCAAGGAACCAGGAGUUCGAAUCUCCUCCCCUCCGCCA